GCCCAGACUCCUACGGGAGGCAGCAGUGGGGAAUAUUGCACAAUGGGGGAAACCCUGAUGCAGCGACGCCGCGUGAGCGAUGAAGUAUUUCGGUAUGUAAAGCUCUAUCAGCAGGGAAGAAAAUGACGGUACCUGACUAAGAAGCCCCGGCUAACUACGUGCCAGCAGCCGCGGUAAUACGUAGGGGGCAAGCGUUAUCCGGAUUUACUGGGUGUAAAGGGAGCGUAGACGGCUGUGCAAGCCAGAUGUGAAAGCCCGGGGCUCAACCCCGGGACUGCAUUUGGAACUGUGUGGCUGGAGUGUCGGAGAGGCAGGCGGAAUUCCUAGUGUAGUGGUGAAAUGCGUAGAUAUUAGGAGGAACACCAGUGGCGAAGGCGGCCUGCUGGACGAUGACUGACGUUGAGGCUCGAAAGCGUGGGGAGCAAACAGGAUUAGAUACCCUCGUA
This 446-nucleotide ribosomal RNA is filed under the name uncultured bacterium. RNAcentral describes it as "bacterial SSU rRNA". It matches the Rfam family "Bacterial small subunit ribosomal RNA", at positions 329 to 792 of the family's 1533-position model. The record is from RNAcentral.